UUUGAUCAUGGCUCAGGACGAACGCUGGCGGCGUGCCUAACACAUGCAAGUCGAACGGAACUUCUUUGAAAGAUUUCUUCGGAAUGAAUUUGAUUAAGUUUAGUGGCGGACGGGUGAGUAACGCGUGAGUAACCUGCCUCUAAGAGGGGAAUAACAUUCUGAAAAGAAUGCUAAUACCGCAUAAUAUAUAUUUAUCGCAUGGUAGAUAUAUCAAAGAUUUAUCGCUUAGAGAUGGACUCGCGUCCGAUUAGUUAGUUGGUGAGGUAACGGCUCACCAAGACCGCGAUCGGUAGCCGGACUGAGAGGUUGAACGGCCACAUUGGGACUGAGACACGGCCCAGACUCCUACGGGAGGCAGCAGUGGGGGAUAUUGCGCAAUGGGGGAAACCCUGACGCAGCAACGCCGCGUGAAGGAUGAAGGUCUUCGGAUUGUAAACUUCUUUUAUUAAGGACGAAGAAAGUGACGGUACUUAAUGAAUAAGCUCCGGCUAACUACGUGCCAGCAGCCGCGGUAAUACGUAGGGAGCAAGCGUUGUCCGGAUUUACUGGGUGUAAAGGGUGCGUAGGCGGCUUUGCAAGUCAGAUGUGAAAUCUAUGGGCUCAACCCAUAGCCUGCAUUUGAAACUGCAGAGCUUGAGUGAAGUAGAGGCAGGCGGAAUUCCCCGUGUAGCGGUGAAAUGCGUAGAGAUGGGGAGGAACACCAGUGGCGAAGGCGGCCUGCUGGGCUUUAACUGACGCUGAGGCACGAAAGCGUGGGUAGCAAACAGGAUUAGAUACCCUGGUAGUCCACGCUGUAAACGAUGAUUACUAGGUGUGGGGGGUCUGACCCCUUCCGUGCCGGAGUUAACACAAUAAGUAAUCCACCUGGGGAGUACGGCCGCAAGG
This 885-nucleotide ribosomal RNA is filed under the name uncultured Bacillota bacterium. RNAcentral describes it as "bacterial SSU rRNA". It matches the Rfam family "Bacterial small subunit ribosomal RNA", at positions 12 to 893 of the family's 1533-position model. Lineage: Bacteria; Bacillati; Bacillota. The record is from RNAcentral.